Molecule: ribosomal RNA, 433 nt
Filed under: uncultured bacterium
Lineage: Bacteria
Description: partial 16S ribosomal RNA
Rfam family: Bacterial small subunit ribosomal RNA
Source: RNAcentral
AACGAACGCUGGCGGCAUGCCUAACGCAUGCAAGUCGAACGAGACCUUCGGGUCUAGUGGCGCACGGGUGCGUAACGCGUGGGAACCUGCCCUUAGGUUCGGAAUAACUCCCCGAAAGGGGUGCUAAUACCGGAUAAUGUCUUCGGACCAAAGAUUUAUCGCCUUUGGAUGGGCCCGCGUUGGAUUAGCUAGUUGGUAGGGUAAAAGCCUACCAAGGCGACGAUCCAUAGCUGGUCUGAGAGGAUGAUCAGCCACCCUGGGACUGAGACACGGCCCAGACUCCUACGGGAGGCAGCAGUGGGGAAUAUUGGACAAUGGGCGAAAGCCUGAUCCAGCAAUGCCGCGUGAGUGAUGAAGGCCUUAGGGUUGUAAAGCUCUUUUACCCGGGAUGAUAAUGACAGUACCGGGAGAAUAAGCUCCGGCUAACUCCGUG